UCCAGACUCCUACGGGAGGCAGCAGUGGGGAAUAUUGGGCAAUGGACGCAAGUCUGACCCAGCAACGCCGCGUGAAGGAAGAAGGCUUUCGGGUUGUAAACUUCUUUUAAGGGGGAAGAGCAGAAGACGGUACCCCUUGAAUAAGCCACGGCUAACUACGUGCCAGCAGCCGCGGUAAUACGUAGGUGGCAAGCGUUGUCCGGAUUUACUGGGCGUGAAGGGGGCGCAGGCGGCGCGCCAAGCCCGAUGUGAAAGCCCGGGGCUCAACCCCGGGACUGCAUUGGGAACUGGCGUGCUGGAGUGCCGGAGGGGCAGGCGGAAUUCCUGGUGUAGCGGUGAAAUGCGUAGAUAUCAGGAGGAACACCGGUGGCGAAGGCGGCCUGCUGGACGGAUACUGACGCUGAGGCCCGAAAGCGUGGGGAGCGAACAGGAUUAGAUACCCCUGUAAA
Molecule: ribosomal RNA, 449 nt
Filed under: uncultured bacterium
Lineage: Bacteria
Description: bacterial SSU rRNA
Rfam family: Bacterial small subunit ribosomal RNA
Source: RNAcentral